Mus musculus (house mouse) is the source of this 1196-nucleotide long non-coding RNA. RefSeq lists it as uncharacterized. The transcript has 2 exons. Lineage: Eukaryota; Metazoa; Chordata; Mammalia; Rodentia; Muridae. The record is from RefSeq and is a predicted model, not a curated record.
GCCAAAGGAGAGGGUGGGGACGGUGGGGCGGGGAGCCGCUGGUAGGGGCUUGCUCCCGUUAACUCUUGGGGUCCUGACUGCAGCCAGAGGGGCUCUCCCCCCUCACCCACCUCUGGAGCCCGCAAACCCUCCAGGUGUCUCCUAGGAGGAAGAAGGUUUGUGAAAUCACCCCCUCCAAAACUGCUGCCCCAGUUCCAACUCCGGGCGACAUGCAGAAAUGCAUUUAUUGCAAAUUAGUUUUAAAUCAGGUCGACUAGGAACAUGGGUAUUAAAGCGAAUAGUUUGAGUGAAAUGUUUUUUGUUUCUAGGAUGAAUAAGAAAUAGUUGUUUUUGUAGUAACAGUUUUGAAGGAGUUAUGAAUUCGAAUGACAAUUUUAAACACAAUCUAAUUCUGGGAUGGGGAACUCCAGCUUUACCUAAAUUUGUACUGAACUCAUUGAAAAUUAGCAUUCACCCACUAAAAGACAACCACCUUCUGAAAAAUGUCUUGAUUUUUAUGUUAGAGCGUUCUUGUCAGAACUGGACAUUUUUCUCCUUCCAAAUAGGACUGAGAAUAACACUUAAACUCAAACUUUAGACUAGUAUGAAAGCAAUCGCCAGAUUCCUGUUGAUACAUAUGUGUAAAAAAUGAGUGGCUGUUGGUUUUUCAUAUACUAAAAACUAACUUUUUUAUGGAGAAUAAUUAUUUUCAUGGAGUCCCCAAGGAAAUACAUUUAUAUUACAGUCAAUAUCCAAAGGAGGAAAAUACACAUUAAAAUUUCCAUUUAGAAAAUAAGAACAAUGAUUAUUAAUUACAAAAUCAGAUAUUGAACCCAAAAGACAAGAUCAUAAUUCUGAAUAAAACAGGUUUGAUUCACAGACGUCAUAGUGUGAUAAAUGGGAGAAUAAAACCUAACUGUGCCUUUCAAUUAUUUUUCAGGAAACAAAGCAAAGCAGCAGAAAUCCUAAAUGUGUGUGCUCUUUCUCCCUCUCCCAUUUCCUUAACAAGGAGCAUAAAGACUCCCUCCCUGACAGGAUCUCUGCUUCGCUCUUCCGUCCUGCUAAGAACAAGGUGUCACUAUGUCAUGCUGGCCGAGCGACCUGAAACUCAAGAGAUCUACCUGCCUCUGCUUUCCCGGUCCUGGGAUGAGAGCUAUGCUUCACCCGCCUGCAUAAUUUACUUGCCGUUUACAAACUUACAGAUGUGACGGCACUUU